Molecule: ribosomal RNA, 549 nt
Filed under: uncultured bacterium
Lineage: Bacteria
Description: bacterial SSU rRNA
Rfam family: Bacterial small subunit ribosomal RNA
Source: RNAcentral
GGGGAAUCUUCCGCAAUGGACGAAAGUCUGACGGAGCAACGCCGCGUGAGUGAUGACGGCCUUCGGGUUGUAAAGCUCUGUUAAUCGGGACGAAUGGCUCUUGUGCGAAUAGUGCGAGGAUUUGACGGUACCGGAAUAGAAAGCCACGGCUAACUACGUGCCAGCAGCCGCGGUAAUACGUAGGUGGCAAGCGUUGUCCGGAAUUAUUGGGCGUAAAGCGCGCGCAGGCGGAUUGGUCAGUCUGUCUUAAAAGUUCGGGGCUUAACCCCGUGAUGGGAUGGAAACUGCCAAUCUAGAGUAUCGGAGAGGAAAGUGGAAUUCCUAGUGUAGCGGUGAAAUGCGUAGAUAUUAGGAAGAACACCAGUGGCGAAGGCGACUUUCUGGACGAAAACUGACGCUGAGGCGCGAAAGCCAGGGGAGCGAACGGGAUUAGAUACCCCGGUAGUCCUGGCCGUAAACGAUGGGUACUAGGUGUAGGAGGUAUCGACCCCUUCUGUGCCGGGGUUAACGCAAUAAGUACCCCGCCUGGGGAGUACGACCGCAAGGUUG